RNAcentral lists this ribosomal RNA (513 nucleotides) under Escherichia coli. RNAcentral's name for it is "partial 23S ribosomal RNA". It matches the Rfam family "Bacterial large subunit ribosomal RNA", at positions 1252 to 1767 of the family's 2925-position model. The record is from RNAcentral. Lineage: Bacteria; Pseudomonadati; Pseudomonadota; Gammaproteobacteria; Enterobacterales; Enterobacteriaceae.
GAAGGUGUACUGUGAGGUAUGCUGGAGGUAUCAGAAGUGCGAAUGCUGACAUAAGUAACGAUAAAGCGGGUGAAAAGCCCGCUCGCCGGAAGACCAAGGGUUCCUGUCCAACGUUAAUCGGGGCAGGGUGAGUCGACCCCUAAGGCGAGGCCGAAAGGCGUAGUCGAUGGGAAACAGGUUAAUAUUCCUGUACUUGGUGUUACUGCGAAGGGGGGACGGAGAAGGCUAUGUUGGCCGGGCGACGGUUGUCCCGGUUUAAGCGUGUAGGCUGGUUUUCCAGGCAAAUCCGGAAAAUCAAGGCUGAGGCGUGAUGACGAGGCACUACGGUGCUGAAGCAACAAAUGCCCUGCUUCCAGGAAAAGCCUCUAAGCAUCAGGUAACAUCAAAUCGUACCCCAAACCGACACAGGUGGUCAGGUAGAGAAUACCAAGGCGCUUGAGAGAACUCGGGUGAAGGAACUAGGCAAAAUGGUGCCGUAACUUCGGGAGAAGGCACGCUGAUAUGUAGGUGAAG